This 551-nucleotide long non-coding RNA is filed under the name Monodelphis domestica (gray short-tailed opossum). RNAcentral's name for it is "lncRNA (ENSMODG00000038476.1)". The record is from RNAcentral. Lineage: Eukaryota; Metazoa; Chordata; Mammalia; Didelphimorphia; Didelphidae.
UAUCUGCAUUGAUUUUUCUCACCUCUUUAUGUUAUAUAAUUUACCCCAUUCUAUUGUGACAAGGAAAUCACUUUAAAAGACUGAUAUAUAUUAAUUUAAGGUUGCCAAGGAAUUCAGCUAUGUAAUUCCUAAAUGAAAACUCAAGUCAGCAGUCAAACUUUUAUGGAGUUUAAUUACAAACAGGAUGAAGAAAGGUAUUAGAGAGAGAGAGAGAGAGAGAGAGAGAGAGAGAGAGAGAGAGAGAGAGAGAGAGAGAGAGAGAGAGAGAGAGAGAAAGGGGAGAGAAGGGAAUAGGAGAUAUAUAGUGAGAGAGAAAGGGGAGAGAAGGGAAUAGGGCUUAAAUACCCCUUCUGUUUAGGCUGGGCCAAAAGGCCCAAGCCCUUAGAUAGCUGAGGCAAAGAAAAGAGAUCAGUCCCUAUCACUCACGUGACCAAAAUGGAGAAACAGUCUCAGGGGCCUCCACCUCCAGCUUCCUUCAGAGCAAGCUUCUCAGAGCACCACCUCUCAGAGCAAAAACCUCUCCAACCAACCCCCCUAGUCCUCAGACCUCC